RNAcentral lists this transfer RNA (74 nucleotides) under Candidatus Moranbacteria bacterium RIFOXYB1_FULL_43_19. Its description in RNAcentral is "tRNA-Gly". It matches the Rfam family "tRNA". Rfam says of the family: Transfer RNA (tRNA) molecules are approximately 80 nucleotides in length. The record is from RNAcentral. Lineage: Bacteria; Candidatus Moraniibacteriota. RNAcentral also lists the same sequence under 2 other names.
GCGAGUGUAGUAUAAUGGUAAUACACGACCUUCCCAAGGUUGAGUCGUGGGUUCGAUUCCCAUCACUCGCUCGA